CCUACGGGGGGCAGCAGUGGGGAAUCUUGCGCAAUGGGCGAAAGCCUGACGCAGCAACGCCGCGUGCGGGAUGAAGGCCUUCGGGUUGUAAACCGCUUUCAGUGGGGACGAACCAAGACGGUACCCACAGAAGAAGCCCCGGCCAACUACGUGCCAGCAGCCGCGGUAACACGUAGGGGGCAAGCGUUGUCCGGAUUUAUUGGGCGUAAAGAGCUCGUAGGUGGCUCAGUAAGUCGGGUGUGAAACCUCCAGGCUCAACCUGGAGACGCCACCCUAUACUGCUGUGGCUAGAGUCCAGUAGGGGAGCAUGGAAUUCCUGGUGUAGCGGUGAAAUGCGCAGAUAUCAGGAGGAACACCAGUGGCGAAGGCGGUGCUCUGGGCUGGAACUGACACUGAGGAGCGAAAGCGUGGGGAGCGAACAGGAUUAGAUACCCGAGUAGUC
Molecule: ribosomal RNA, 442 nt
Filed under: uncultured Iamia sp.
Lineage: Bacteria; Bacillati; Actinomycetota; Acidimicrobiia; Acidimicrobiales; Iamiaceae
Description: bacterial SSU rRNA
Rfam family: Bacterial small subunit ribosomal RNA
Source: RNAcentral